Molecule: non-coding RNA, 26 nt
Filed under: Homo sapiens (human)
Lineage: Eukaryota; Metazoa; Chordata; Mammalia; Primates; Hominidae
Source: RNAcentral
UAGCCACAUGUGAAAUCCAUGCUUGC